UAAAGUUUGUCUCUAAAAUCCGUCUCCAACUAUUACUUUCUAUUUAUAAUUAAAAAAAUAAUCAAGUAGAGACAGAUUUAGAGACAAAAUCAUUUAGAGACAGAAUAAUCCGUCUCUAACAUCUGUCACUAAUACACAUAUUUUAUUUUCCGUCUCUGAUUGUUUUUUUGGUCUCUAAUUUUGUCUCUAAUAGAGAAGAAUUAAAUUCCGUCUCUAAAUUCCGUCGGUAUUU
Molecule: long non-coding RNA, 232 nt
Filed under: Trifolium pratense (red clover)
Lineage: Eukaryota; Viridiplantae; Streptophyta; Magnoliopsida; Fabales; Fabaceae
Description: long non-coding RNA (TPRA_LNC007927)
Source: RNAcentral